Molecule: ribosomal RNA, 497 nt
Filed under: uncultured bacterium
Lineage: Bacteria
Description: partial 16S ribosomal RNA
Rfam family: Bacterial small subunit ribosomal RNA
Source: RNAcentral
GAUGAACGCUGGCGGCGUGCCUAAUACAUGCAAGUCGAGCGAACAGACGAGGAGCUUGCUCCUCUGACGUUAGCGGCGGACGGGUGAGUAACACGUGGAUAACCUACCUAUAAGACUGGGAUAACUUCGUGAAACCGGAGCUAAUACCGGAUAAUAUAUUGAACCGCAUGGUUCAAUAGUGAAAGACGGUUUUGCUGUCACUUAUAGAUGGAUCCGCGCCGCAUUAGCUAGUUGGUAAGGUAACGGCUUACCAAGGCAACGAUGCGUAGCCGACCUGAGAGGGUGAUCGGCCACACUGGAACUGAGACACGGUCCAGACUCCUACGGGAGGCAGCAGUAGGGAAUCUUCCGCAAUGGGCGAAAGCCUGACGGAGCCACGCCGCGUGAGUGAUGAAGGUCUUCGGAUCGUAAAACUCUGUUAUUAGGGAAGAACAAAUGUGUAAGUAACUAUGCACGUCUUGACGGUACCUAAUCAGAAAGCCACGGCUAACUACGUG